CCUACGGGUGGCAGCCGUGAGGAAUAUUGGUCAAUGGACGAGAGUCUGAACCAGCCAAGUAGCGUGAAGGAUGACUGCCCUAUGGGUUGUAAACUUCUUUUAUAUGGGAAUAAAAUGUUCCACGUGUGGGAUUUUGUAUGUACCAUAUGAAUAAGGAUCGGCUAACUCCGUGCCAGCAGCCGCGGUAAUACGGAGGAUCCGAGCGUUAUCCGGAUUUAUUGGGUUUAAAGGGAGCGUAGGUGGAUUGUUAAGUCAGUUGUGAAAGUUUGCGGCUCAACCGUAAAAUUGCAGUUGAAACUGGCAGUCUUGAGUACAGUAGAGGGGGGCGGAAUUCGUGGUGUAGCGGUGAAAUGCUUAGAUAUCACGAAGAACUCCGAUUGCGAAGGCAGUUCACUGGACUGCAACUGACACUGAGGCUCGAAAGUGUGGGUAUCAAACAGGAUUAGAUACCCGUGUAGUC
Molecule: ribosomal RNA, 460 nt
Filed under: uncultured bacterium
Lineage: Bacteria
Description: partial 16S ribosomal RNA
Rfam family: Bacterial small subunit ribosomal RNA
Source: RNAcentral